AUCAGUUCAGUUUAUAUAUUAAAUAAAAAAUGUACUUUAAUUGUCUCAAAACUUUAGCUUGCUCGAAGGUCCUUGUUAUUAGAUUUGCUUGCUUCCUUACUCUGGGUGCAGUGCUCUGUGCAUGACUAUUAGCUUCAUGCCCACAAUGCGGUGUGCACUCUGUACCGGGUGGGUCAAGGUUUGGGACAGGCAUAAAGAUAGGAAUGGCCCUACUUUUAAAACACCUAAACAUCUAAUGUAAAGACCUUGUUUUUCAAUGUUACUAAUUUUUCUAACAUAAUAAUCAAUAGAUAGAUAUUUUUAAUAGAGAUUAUUAUCCACCGUGUGAAUACAUUAAAACAGAUGUAAAGGCCAACAAGUUUUUUUUUAAUGAAACACUUAACUAAUACAAUUAGAAGUAGGGUACUGCCCUGAAAUGUGGGUUGUUGGCUCACAGGGCAGGGCCCUAUAGUUAUUUAUUAUGAAAAUAUCUAAAUACCUUGUUUCAAAAUGUUUCAUAACUGGCUAAUCCCAAUAAGAGGUGUCUAGAGCAUACGCUCAAGCGGGACAGGGCCGUCUGUCUGACCCUACUUGCCGAGCCCAACGAGAGGUGUACAGAUUAUACACACAAGCAGGACAGGGCCGCCUACAGUCUUGGACUUCCAGGUUCUCUGACCCUAACAGUAGAGCCCGACAAGAAGUCUUGGACUUUUGGAAGUCUUGGACUUCCAAGGUCUCCUCCCUGCCAUCCAAGCACAACGAUAAGUCUUGGGCGGAACAGGGCCACCUGCCAUCCUGGAAGUUUUUAAUUUCCAGGGUCUCUGACCACCGGCCAAGCCUGACGAAAAGUGCCCAGAGCAUACACGCAGGCGGGACAGGGCCGCCUGCCAUCCUGGAAGUCUUGGACUUCCAGGGUGUCUGACCCUACUGGCUGAGCCCAAGGACAGGACUUAGAAACAAAUGCGCAGGCGGGACAGGGCCGCCUGCUCUCCUGGAAGUUUUGGACUUCCAGGGUCUCCAACCCUACCGGUCAAGCCAGACGAGGUGUCCAGAACAUAAGCGCAAGCAAGGCAGGGCCGCCUGCCGUCCUAGAAGUCUUGGACUUCCUGGGUGUCUGACCCUACCGGCCAAGAUCGGUGAGAGUUGUCAAGAGGGCCACCUGUUGUUCUGGAAGUUUUAGACUUCCAGGGUCUCUGACCCUACCAGCAGAGCCCGACGAGAAGUCUUGGACUUCCAAGGUGUCUGUUCCUAACAGCUGAGCCCAAAGAUAGGACUCAGAAACGGAUGCACAGGUGGGACAGGGCCGCCUGUUGUCCUGGAAGUUUAAGACUUCCAACCCUACUGGCCAAUCGUGACGAGGUGUCCAGAGCAUACGCGCAAGCGGGACAGGGCCACUUGCCGUCCUGCAAGUCUUGGACUUCUAGGGUCUCCGAUCCUACUGUCCAAGCUUGACAAUAAGUCUUGAGCGGGACAGGACCGCCUGCCAUCCUGAAAGUCUUGAACUUCCAGGGUCUCUGACCUUACGGCCAUUCCCAACUAAAGGUGUCCAGAGCAUACGCGCAAGCGGGACAGGGCCGCCUGCCGUCCUAGAAGUCUUGGACUUCCAGGGUGUCUGACCCUACCGGCCAAGCUCGGUGAGAGGUGUCAAGAGGGCCACCUGUUGUCCUGGAAGUUUUAGACUUCCAGGGUCUCCGACCCUACCGGCAGAGCCCGACGAGAAGUCUUGGACUUCCAAGGUGUCUGUUCCUAACAGCUGAGCCCAAAGAUAGGACUCAGAAACGGAUGCACAGGUGGGACAGGGCCGCCUGUUGUCCUGGAAGUUUUGGACUUCCAACCCUACUGGCCAAUCCUGACGAGGUGUCCAGAGCAUACGCGCAAGCGGGACAGGGCCACUUGCCGUCCUGCAAGUCUUGGACUUCUAGGGUCUCCGACCCUACCGUCCAAGCUUGACAAUAAGUCUUGAGCGGGACAGGGCUGCCUGCCAUCCUGAAUGUUUUUGAUUUCCAGGGUCUCUGACCACUGGCUGAGCCUGACAAGACUUGUCAAGGCAAACAAACAAAAAGGACAGGGCUGCCUGCCAUCCUGGUAGUCUUGGACUUCCAGGGUCUCUGACCUUACGGCCAUUCUCGACUAGAGGUGUCCAGAGCAUACGCGCAAGCGAGACUGGACUGCUUGCCAUCCUAGAAGUCUUUGACUUCCAGGGUGUCUGACCCUAACAGCCGAGCCCAAAGAUAGGACUAAGAUACGGAUGCAGGUGGGACAGGGCCGCCUGUUGUCCUGGAAGUUUUGGACUUCCAACCCUACUGGCCAAUCCUGACGAGGUGUCCAGAGCAUACGCGCAAGCGGGACAGGGCCACUUGCCAUCCUGCAAGUCUUGGACUUCUAGGGUCUCCGACCCUACCGUCCAAGCUUGACAAUAAGUCUUGAGCGGGACAGGGCUGCCUGCCAUCCUGAAUGUUUUUGAUUUCCAGGGUCUCUGACCACCGGCUGAGCCUGACAAGACUUGUCAAGGCAAACACACAAACAGGACAGGGCCGCCUGCCAUCCUGGAAGUCUUGAACUUCCAGGGUCUCUGACCUUAUGGCCAUUCCCAACUAAAGGUGUCCAGAGCAUACGCGCAAGUGGGACAGGGCCGCUUGCCGUCCUAGAAGUCUUGGACUUCCAGGGUGUCUGACCCUACCGGCCAAGCUCGGUGAGAGGUGUCAAGAGGGCCACCGGUUGUCCUGGAAGUUUUAGACUUCCAGGGUCUCCGACCCUACCGGCAGAGCCUGACGAGAAGUCUUGGACUUCCAAGGUGUCUAUUCCUAACAGCUGAGCCCAACGAUAGGACUCAGAAACGAAUGCACAGGUGGGACAGGGCCGCCUGUUGUCCUGGAAGUUUUGGACUUCCAACCCUACUGGCCAAUCCUGAUGAGGUGUCCAGAGCAUACGCGCAAGUGGGAUAGGGCCACUUGCCGUCCAGCAAGUCUUGGACUUCUAGGGUCUCCGACCCUACCGUCCAAGCUUGAAAAUAAGUCUUGGGUGGAACAGGGCUGCCUGCCAUCCUGGAAGUUUUUGAUUUCCAGGGUCUCUGACCAUCACCUCUGACGAGAGGUGUCCAGAGCAUACACGCAAGCGGGACAGGGCCGCCUGCCGUCCUGGAAGUCCAAGACUUCCAGGGUCUCUGACCUUACCUGCCAAUCCUGACGAGAGGUGUCCAGAGCAUACGUGCAAGUGGGACAGGGCCACUUGCCGUUCUGGAAGUCUUGGACUUCCAGGGUGUCUGACCCUACCGGCCAAGCUUGGUGAGAGGUGUCAAGAGGGCCACCUGUUGUCCUGGAAGUUUUAGACUUCCAGGGUCUCCGACCCUACCGGCAGAGCCCGACAAGAAGUCUUGGACUUCCAAGGUGUCUGUUCCUAACAGCUGAGCCCAAAGAUAGGACUCAGAAAUGGAUGCACAGGUGGGACAGGGCCGCCUGUUGUCCUGGAAGUUUUGGACUUCCAACCCUACUGGCCAAUCCUGACGAGGUGUCCAGAGCAUACGCGCAAGCGGGACAGGGCCACUUGCCGUCCUGCAAGUCUUUGACUUCAAGGGUCUCUGACCCUACCGUCCAAGCUUGACAAUAAGUCUUGAGCGGGACAGGGCUGCCUGCCAUCCUGAAUGUUUUUGAUUUCCAGGGUCUCUGACCACCGGCUGAGCCUGACAAGACUUGUCAAGGCAAACACACAAACAGGACAGGGCCGCCUGCCAUCCUGGAAGUCUUGAACUUCCAGGGUCUCUGACCUUACGGCCAUUCCCAACUAAAGGUGUCCAGAGCAUACGCGCAAGUGGGACAGGGCCGCCUGCCGUCCUAGAAGUCUUGGACUUCCAGGGUGUCUGACCCUACCGGCCAAGCUCAGUGAGAGGUGUCAAGAGGGCCACCGGUUGUCCUGGAAGUUUUAGACUUCCAGGGUCUCCGACCCUACCGGCAGAGCCCGACGAGAAGUCUUGGACUUCCAAGGUGUCUGUUCCUAACAGCUGAGCCCAAAGAUAGGACUCAGAAACGGAUGCACAGGUGGGACAGGGCCGCCUGUUGUCCUGGAAGUUUUGGACUUCCAACCCUACUGGCCAAUCCUGACAAGGUGUCCAGAGCAUACGUGCAAGUGGGAUAGGGCCACUUGCCGUCCUGCAAGUCUUGGACUUCUAGGGUCUCCGACCCUACCGUCCAAGCUUGACAAUAAGUCUUGGGUGGGACAGGGCUGCCUGCCAUCCUGGAAGUUUUUGAUUUCCAGGGUCUCUGACCAUCACCUCUGACGAGAGGUGUCCAGAGCAUACACGCAAGCGGGACAGGGCCGCCUGCCGUCCUGGAAGUCCAAGACUUCCAGGGUCUCUGACCUUACCUGCCAAUCCUGACGAGAGGUGUCCAGAGCAUACGCGCAAGUGGGACAGGGCCACUUGCCGUCCUGCAAGUCUUGUUCUUGUAGGGUCUCUGACCCUAUCGGCAGAGCCAGAUGAGAAAUGUCCAGAGCAUAUGCGCAAGCGGGACAGGGCCGCCUGCCGUCCUAGAAGUCUUGGACUUCCAGGGUGUCUGACCCUACCGGCCAAGCUCGGCAAGAGGUGUCAAGAGGGCCACCUGUUGUCCUGGAAGUUUUAGACUUCCAGGGUCUCCGACCCUACCAACGCAAUGUCGAAAGACUGUUCUCAAAAGGGAACAACGUAAAGCUAGGCAAACACUAAACAUACUAGCCUAAACUGAACUAUAAACAUAACAGUAAACUAAACUUUAAAUAACUAGACUUAAUAGACUUCAUACAGGAAACAUACAAACGAAUCAGCACAGGACAGCAAACACAAGCUUAUCAAGGGGGCAACAGGUGUGGGGCAUAUAACAAUAGCAAGAUAAUUAACCCAAUUAACACCAAAGCAAACAAUGACAUGUGCUUCCACACAAAACAAGUAACGUUGUCACGAUCCUGACAAAAGACUAGAAAAGCAUGAUUGAUAGAGGCAGGAUCGUGACAUAUAGUGAAAUUGUCAUAUUUUUGUCUUUAAUUUCUUCUGUGAGUUUAAUUUGUUUUACAGAUAGUAAAAACAGUUGAGGGAAUGUUGUUAGAUGACCAACUCAUGUAUGAAGCUGCAGAUGAGGGGAAAGACAGAGAUGAAGCAGGAGGAUCAGGCUCCAUGACUGAUGGAAAGCUCUUCAUACAGGCAUCAGUCAAUCAGAACACCUGAGACGAUGCUGCACAUUCACUGGGAUGAAACUGUGAAGAUAAUUCAGACAGAGACUGAAAAGAUUCAAAACAACACCACUGAAACACUGAAUAAUCACAUGACACGCACCUCUGCCAAUAAUAACAUAAUAAAAGUAAAUAAAGAUAUAAAAG
Molecule: non-coding RNA, 5322 nt
Organism: Misgurnus anguillicaudatus (oriental weatherfish)
Lineage: Eukaryota; Metazoa; Chordata; Actinopteri; Cypriniformes; Cobitidae
Source: RefSeq, a predicted model, not a curated record